GACGAACGCUGGCGGCGUGCUUAACACAUGCAAGUCGAACGGAAAGGCCCUGCUUUUGUGGGGUGCUCGAGUGGCAAACGGGUGAGUAACACGUGAGUAACCUGCCCUUGACUUUGGGAUAACUUCAGGAAACUGGGGCUAAUACCGGAUAGGAGCUCCUGCUGCAUGGUGGGGGUUGGAAAGUUUCGGCGGUUGGGGAUGGACUCGCGGCUUAUCAGCUUGUUGGUGGGGUAGUGGCUUACCAAGGCUUUGACGGGUAGCCGGCCUGAGAGGGUGACCGGCCACAUUGGGACUGAGAUACGGCCCAGACUCCUACGGGAGGCAGCAGUGGGGAAUAUUGCACAAUGGGCGGAAGCCUGAUGCAGCAACGCCGCGUGCGGGAUGACGGCCUUCGGGUUGUAAACCGCUUUCGCCUGUGACGAAGCGUGAGUGACGGUAAUGGGUAAAGAAGCACCGGCUAACUACGUGCCAGCAGCCGCGGUGAUACGUAGGGUGCGAGCGUUGUCCGGAUUUAUUGGGCGUAAAGGGCUCGUAGGUGGUUGAUCGCGUCGGAAGUGUAAUCUUGGGGCUUAACCCUGAGCGUGCUUUCGAUACGGGUUGACUUGAGGAAGGUAGGGGAGAAUGGAAUUCCUGGUGGAGCGGUGGAAUGCGCAGAUAUCAGGAGGAACACCAGUGGCGAAGGCGGUUCUCUGGGCCUUUCCUGACGCUGAGGAGCGAAAGCGUGGGGAGCGAACAGGCUUAGAUACCCUGGUAGUCCACGCUGUAAACGGUGGGUACUAGGUGUGGGGUCCAUUCCACGGGUUCCGUGCCGUAGCUAACGCUUUAAGUACCCCGCCCGGGGAGUACGGCCGCAAGGCUAAAACUCAAAGGAAUUGACGGGGCCCCGCACAAGCGGCGGAGCAUGCGGAUUAAUUCGAUGCAACGCGUAGAACCUUACCUGGGUUUGACAUGGAUCGGGAGUGCUCAGAGAUGGGUGUGCCUCUUUUGGGGUCGGUUCACAGGUGGUGCACGGCUGUCGUCAGCUCGUGUCGUGAGAUGUUGGGUUAAGUCCCGCAACGAGCGCAACCCUUGUUCACUGUUGCCAGCACGUUAUGGUGGGGACUCAGUGGAGACCGCCGGGGUCAGCUCGGAGGAAGGUGGGGAUGACGUCAAGUCAUCAUGCCCCUUAUGUCCAGGGCUUCACGCAUGCUACAAUGGCUGGUACAGAGAGUGGCGAGCCUGUGAGGGUGAGCGAAUCUCGGAAAGCCGGUCUCAGUUCGGAUUGAGGUCUGCAACUCGACCUCAUGAAGUCGGAGUCGCUAGUAAUCGCAGAUCAGCAACGCUGCGGUGAAUACGUUCCCGGGGC
Molecule: ribosomal RNA, 1345 nt
Filed under: uncultured bacterium
Lineage: Bacteria
Description: partial 16S ribosomal RNA
Rfam family: Bacterial small subunit ribosomal RNA
Source: RNAcentral